Cordylochernes scorpioides is the source of this 81-nucleotide non-coding RNA. The record is from the annotation of a GenBank genome assembly. NCBI's taxonomy places the organism in Eukaryota, Metazoa, Arthropoda, Arachnida, Pseudoscorpiones, Chernetidae.
GCCAAGGGUGGCUACCCUAUAGUGGACAUGGCGUCUACCCGGUAAGCGGAACACUGUGGGUUCGAUUCCCAUCCCUGGACA